This is a long non-coding RNA of Mustela lutreola (European mink), 1445 nucleotides long. RefSeq lists it as uncharacterized. The transcript is spliced from 3 exons. NCBI's taxonomy places the organism in Eukaryota, Metazoa, Chordata, Mammalia, Carnivora, Mustelidae. The record is from RefSeq and is a predicted model, not a curated record.
UUGGCGUCCACGCUCUAGGGAGAGAGGGCACAUGUAAUUGGGGAAAGCUCUGGCUGGCAGAGUUUGGGGGUGGGGGGGUGGACAGGCGAAGGGGUAGCCAAGUCUCUCGAGGAGGCCAGCAACGCGCGUGCGGGUCCAAUGCGGGUUCCCGACGCGAGACGCCCGGAAACCUGCUCCCCAGUGAGAACAAAGGCAGGCGCCGAGCGAGAACCUGAUUGGUGCCGGGUCCCCACCGGUGUCCUCCUGGCCCCGGAGACAACUUGCUUCACCCACUGGCGCGGAGCUCCGUGCUCACUGGAGCCCGAGCUCCCCACCCGCCUUUGGCUGUGACCACACAGGACUGUGCGUUAUGACAUCACCUGUUUUCGCUCUUCAGAACAUGAUCUGUAUUCUCAGCUUCUCCUUUUUUAAAGGUCUCUAGUGGGCCGGGAUUUGUGAAGGCCUGCGGCCCGCAGAAUGAAUCUGGAGAUGAUGUAAAAGAACGGUUUCACUGCUCGGAUAGCAAAAAGAGAAUAUGACUUAAGAGAGUGACUUGUGAAUCCUGGAUCACACUCUUAAGAGGGAAGAAAACAAAAAGCAGUUCUUUAGAUUUCACACAGGAUAAGGAGAAACUUCCUCCCUUUUGUUGUCUGACUCAAGUCUGGCCACAUGGCACAAUGGACGGCCCAUACAUUUGGAGAGACUCCAAGAAAUCCAUCCCAAGCUCUGAAUGGUCCUGGCACUGUUCCAAAAUUUUACUAACUUUCCACAUAUUGUGAUUCCGGACACGUUUAUACCUUGGUCCCCAGGAUAAUGGAAGCCACAAAAGAGACAAAUUAAAAUGUCAGCCCAGCUGGGCCCACAUUGUGGGCCAGCAAUUACCAUGGAACCCCUUGCCUCUUAGAUCACCUGAGUAUAGCACAUCUGGGCUUCCUAUAAGAGGAAUAACGAAAUAAUCCAGAGUGAUUUCCUAGAUGUUCCCCGACUCAGUUUAAGUACGGUGUGCUUCUUAAUAACUGCUCAGAUUUCGAUAAGCAACAGGAAAAAUUUUUAAAAAUCAGGCAAAAGGCAGAGAACAGAAUCCUGGGAAACUUUGUAACCCAACAACCCCUGCCAUCAUCUGGGACCUAACUAACUUGAAACACACGAUCGGCUGGAGAGGCAAGUAAAAUAGAGCAUCGGUGUUCUCCACCUGAGGGAAGAAUAUCAUUCAGACCUCACUGCAGAUUCUGACGGAAGGUAUGAAGGAAGGAAGCCAUGUCACUACAGAUGGAGCAAAGAAUGUCCACAGCAAAGGGCACAUCUGACAGGUCCUACCCCUUGUGAGAUCAUGGUAGGUGUUCAAAGCAUCCGCCUGAGAGAAAUAAGGGAAACAGGACCAGAGUCGGAAGAACAGAUGACCUAAGGAAUUAAACGGUGUGGGAAUUGAGACAUUGCUUUUCUCCUCACUUUCUCCUUUUUUUAUU